GGGGAAACCCACGACCAGUGCAACAGAGAGCAAACCGCCGAUGGCCCGCGCAAGCGGGAUCAGGUAAGGGUGAAAGGGUGCGGUAAGAGCGCACCGCGCGGCUGGUAACAGUCCGUGGCACGGUAAACUCCACCCGGAGCAAGGCCAAAUAGGGGUUCAUAAGGUACGGCCCGUACUGAACCCGGGUAGGCUGCUUGAGCCAGUGAGCGAUUGCUGGCCUAGAUGAAUGACUGUCCACGACAGAACCCGGCUUAUCGGUCAGUUUCACCU
RNAcentral lists this RNase P RNA (270 nucleotides) under Escherichia coli. RNAcentral's name for it is "partial RNase P RNA component class A". It matches the Rfam family "Bacterial RNase P class A", at positions 91 to 367 of the family's 367-position model. From Rfam's summary of the family: Ribonuclease P (RNase P) is a ubiquitous endoribonuclease, found in archaea, bacteria and eukarya as well as chloroplasts and mitochondria. Its best characterised activity is the generation of mature 5'-ends of tRNAs by cleaving the 5'-leader elements of precursor-tRNAs. Cellular RNase Ps are ribonucleoproteins. RNAcentral also lists the same sequence under 3 other names. The record is from RNAcentral. Lineage: Bacteria; Pseudomonadati; Pseudomonadota; Gammaproteobacteria; Enterobacterales; Enterobacteriaceae.